GGAUUGUAGUUCAGUGGUAGAGCACUUGCCUCACAUGCAUGAGGCACUGGGUUUGAUUCUCAGCACCA
RNAcentral lists this transfer RNA (68 nucleotides) under Marmota monax (woodchuck). RNAcentral's name for it is "tRNA.Val". The stretch from base 5 to 65 matches the Rfam family "tRNA", at positions 6 to 65 of the family's 71-position model. From Rfam's summary of the family: Transfer RNA (tRNA) molecules are approximately 80 nucleotides in length. The record is from RNAcentral. Lineage: Eukaryota; Metazoa; Chordata; Mammalia; Rodentia; Sciuridae.